This 496-nucleotide ribosomal RNA is filed under the name uncultured bacterium. Its description in RNAcentral is "partial 16S ribosomal RNA". It matches the Rfam family "Bacterial small subunit ribosomal RNA", at positions 28 to 507 of the family's 1533-position model. The record is from RNAcentral.
GAUGAACGCUGGCGGCGUGCCUAAUACAUGCAAGUCGAGCGAACAGAUAAGGAGCUUGCUCCUUUGACGUUAGCGGCGGACGGGUGAGUGACACGUGGGUAACCUACCUAUAAGACUGGGAUAACUUCGGGAAACCGGAGCUAAUACCGGAUAACAUUUGGAACCGCAUGGUUCUAAAGUGAAAGAUGGUUUUGCUAUCACUUAUAGAUGGACCCGCGCCGUAUUAGCUAGUUGGUAAGGUAACGGCUUACCAAGGCACGAUACGUAGCCGACCUGAGAGGGUGAUCGGCCACACUGGAACUGAGACACGGUCCAGACUCCUACGGGAGGCAGCAGUAGGGAAUCUUCCGCAAUGGGCGAAAGCCUGACGGAGCAACGCCGCGUGAGUGAUGAAGGGUUUCGGCUCGUAAAACUCUGUUAUUAGGGAAGAACAAAUGUGUAAGUAACUGUGCACGUCUUGACGGUACCUAAUCAGAAAGCCACGGCUAACUACGUG